Long non-coding RNA from Nothobranchius furzeri (turquoise killifish), 3941 nucleotides. RefSeq lists it as uncharacterized. The record is from RefSeq and is a predicted model, not a curated record. NCBI's taxonomy places the organism in Eukaryota, Metazoa, Chordata, Actinopteri, Cyprinodontiformes, Nothobranchiidae.
UAUACACAGGAAAGACAAAACCAUGGCAUCACAUGCUAUUAAAUGUUUAAUCUUAUUUAGAUUAAGCUCUCAAAACAACUUACACCAAGGAGAGUGGAAAUACUAGUUUACACACAUCUGCUGAAUGCUUUGACUCAAAUUAAAAUUGCCAAUAAAAUACAUAAUUUAAUGCAUUUGUUUAUACCUACAUCUUGAAAUAUUCAGUUAACAAUCAGUCAAAAUAUUUCGAAUAAUUGAGAAUAAAACAAUACAACUUUAAUAGUUUAACUGACAAAUAUCAAUAAUAUUAUCAGUCUAAGUAAUGGAAUGUUGUCUUAUGAUCUUUACAUUUUUAAAGUGAAUCACAUAUUUAAUUAAAGUACUUUACAUUUGAAUAACUCUUGGUUUAUGUAAUCCAUUUUAAAUCACUUAAUUACAUUAAGCCUCACCUGACUAAAAAUAGGCGUAUUAAAUGUAACUCCAAAUUAAAAUUCGUGCAGCUAUUAAUUGUAGAGUUUAACUUUUGCAUUCCAUUCAUUUUAAAUUCGAAUAAAUGGGAACCCUUAGUUUAAAAAAAAUACUUGUUUGAAUAACAACCAUAUACGUCGAUGAUAACGACCCAAACUUAAGAAAACUGAUGUAAAUAACUGUCCUGAAUUCACUGACCGUGCUAAACUUCUUAAACAGCUCCAUAUUCUCACCUUUUAUACCUUGAUAAUACCUGACUGUAGCACCAAAAAACUCGAAGAGAGAUGUCAGUUUCAUGUUAGCAGCACCUUUCCUUCCUCUCACCACCUCAUCAUGACGUUUUCAUAUUUUUAGAUGUUUAAUCAGGUUUGUGGUGUCACUUCAUCUCAGAAUAUCUGUCAAUUUCUCAGUUUAGACCAUGGAAUAGACAGAAGGGAGCGCAGUGUGCGCCCCUAGUGGCGGCUUAAUGUAUUUAUAUUGUGACAAUCACGCACCACUGUUGGCGGAAGAAGAAGUAGUUCUCACCAGAGAAAAAUCAUUUUUGGAAAAUGUCCCAACAUUUUAUAAAAUAAAAUUACUCAGAAAUCGGCACGUUAAUGAUGGAAUCAAGUCCAAAACAAAAAUAUCUAGAAUCGGAUGAAUCAAUAUUUUAGUAUCGAUCCGCACAUCCCAGCUGCUUUUUCUCAUUUUGUAAACAGUCAUGUCGGAUGACACAUUGCGUGCAACCCGCCUGCACAAUGACGAAGACACGUUUCUUGGUUUCUCGCAGGGUGCCAUAAGACCCCAAAUAGAUGAUGAAGAAGACACAUAUCGUCGUCGUGGAAGAGAUAUUAGUCUGUUUGAGUAGGGUCAAAUCAUUAUCAUGCAUCAAGCAGAGAAAAAAAUCUAAGGAGAUUACAGAAACUACUAAAAUUGGGUUAAGAACUUUCCAACGCGUUAUUAAAAACUGGAAGGAUAACGAGGACCCAUCGUCUUCGAGGAAGAACUGUGGCUGGAAAAAAAUCCUGAAUGAUCGUGAUCGGCGAUCACUUUAAUGUUUGGUGAAAUGUAAUCGAAGAAAAGCAACAGUAGAGCUCAGGGCUAUGUUUAAUAGCGGCAUCUCCACAAUGCGAAGGGAACUCAAGGACCUGGGACUGAACAGCUGUGUAGCUGUAAGAAAACCACUCAGCACUUCGCAACUCUGCAGCAUCUCAGCAUCUCAGCUUUAGCAAAGCACUAUGGAAACAUCAACUCCACACGUAAGGAGGACGGACCAACUCUAGACUUGCACAGUCUGACAUCUGAAACGCCUGAGCUCUCAUCAGUUGAGACCAACUUGAAAAAAUAAAGUAAAAUAUUGAUCAUAUAACUUAGAAGUCUGUUUAUACAUCCCAAUUUCAAUAGCCAACUACUGUACAUGUAAUGUUCAGGUUUGAAAUUGUGAAUAUUUAAUUCAGUCCAGAUUCAGUUCAGUUUAUGCAUAUAGCACCACAUCACAAUGAGUCAUCUCAAGUCACUUCACAAAGCAAGCAUUCCAAUACAAUUCAGUUCAUUAAGCCAAUCAGUAAAAAGUUUCCUAUAUAAGGAACCCAGCAGAUUGCAUCAAGUCACUGACUAGUGUCAGAGUCUUUACAGCCAUCCUCAUAUUAAGCAAGCAUGUAGUGACUGUGGAGAGGAUACAUAGCAUUUUUGUUUUGGGAAAAACAUGGGAUGGCAAAAUUGUUAUAUUUUCUCAUUAAAUUGGAAUUUAAACUGUUCAAAAGUAGACUAAUAAUGGAACAGCCAAACAGGUAGCUAGUGUUUAAACUUGACAGCAACAGGGCAUUCAGUGUGAUCCUCCUGUUAUACAGAACCACCUGGAUUAAAACAAACAACAACAAAAAAGCAGUAAUUGUGUUUACAAAGUAAAAUUAGUCUAAACAUUAUGAGCUGGAAUUUGCUAUUUAAUCAUUUAACAAAUAUGGGCUUUAUUUAGGCACAAAUAAAACACAUGGUACUUAUUCAUUUGAUUUAGACUUUUUUAAACAGAUUAAUUCUUUUUAGAUUUCAGUCAGCCACAAAACAACCACUGCAUGUCAAAUUAGACUUUUUACAUAGUUAAGUUGUGUUUUUCUAAUUCUAGUCCUUGGGAACCACUGACCUGUUAAUAUUCCAGUUUAACUCUAUGUAAUAAAACGAAGAAGCUUCCCAGAGACAGGAAAAGGAAAUCAAAGGUUUUAAAUUUAAAUAACAGUUCUGAUUUUUCAAAAUGAUUAAUUUAUUUUGAAAAUUGAAUGAAAAAGAAACUGAUUUCAGUUUGAUUUACACAAUACUUGAAAACUAUACAAUAAAUAAACAAACUGAAUCUUAGAAGCAGGUUAUGCAUGACCAUAAAUCGAGUUUGUCUUCAUUAUUGCUUGGCAGAUAUUUUAAGUCUAGUUAAAAUAAAAAACACACCACUGUUACCAGGGCCGGCCCAAGCCAUUGAGGGGCCCUAUGCAGGUUUUCUUGUAAGUGGUAUAUUAAACUAUUUUAAAGCAACAUCAGCAAAAAAACACAACAUUUACAGCAAACAAGCCAAGUUUACUAUUUUUUUGUUCUUAAAAUUUGGAACAGAUGUGAAUAAAAUGUUCAAUCACUAUAAAUUAAACCAAAGGCACAAUAUAAAUGACACAGUACAAAAUAAUAUAUUAACAAUUUCUCCAAAUUUAAUAUAAUUUAGUUUUUUUUAAUUAAAAGUUGGUAAAAAUCUGUAAAUGCUAUCUUGGUGCUCUUAGGGGUGCCCUGGUGGCACAGUGGCCCCAAGCAGUCACUUACCUUGAAUAUGCCUAGGGCUGGCUCUGACAGUGACAUCAUGCUAAGCUACUCUUAUAGAAAUGAUUUGCACUAGCCUAGCAUAGCAGGCUGUAUUAGCAUUAGCCAGACUAAGCAUUAGUACCGUCAUCGUUCUGUCGUGCCACUUCACUCAUUUAAAAAGAAGAUGAACUAAGUUAAAUUAAGGACAGAAAGUCACUGAAAAUGAACUUACCCAGAAUGUUUAGCUAAUGCUAACUUGGGGAAAUUUUAGCUCUCACUGAUUGAUUUGAUUCUGUUUCCCUGCCCUCUCCUUCCUCUGCUCCAUUCUCGCCUCUGCAGCAGAGAUUUAAUCAGAACAACCUGCAAGAAGUGCUUCAAAGUCACACGUGAGAGAGGAGAGUUGUACACUUGUAAGAGAAGAGCUGAGCAUGCAUAGAAACAGAUCUGUAGACUUGUGUUCACAAACUUGUAGUUGAAAAUGUAACAACAUUGUUUUAUUUCACAUGCAUGUCCGUUUUUCUUACAAGUACAUAUUUCUCUUUACAAAUUUACAUGUGUUGAUGUGCAGCUUCUCACACUGUACUGCACACACACACACACACACACACACACACACACAUCUGAGUUUUCAAGCUCACAUCAUGUUGCACAAACACAACAGAUGUACAAGUUCGGACACUUUGAACGACAACGACCUUCAUAUUUAUUCCUUAAUGAAUAAAAUCAUCAUUUGAAAACUG